ACUGUGUAUGGACAGGCAAAUGCUCAGUCACCACCAGGAAAGCAGGGCUCUGGUAACAGAGACUUGGGAAGACAAACACUGCCUCUCUGAACACAAACCCCUUCCUUCUCCUCCCCACAGCACUCCAUACUGAGCAUGAUGCCUUCUGGAAUAUCUCUUUGUUCAUCUGGGAUCGAGUGUCCCAGCUGUGUUCCCCCAGUUCCUUGUCCACCCCCAGCCUCCGGACUGAAUGGACAACAUGAGGAACAGCAAAGGCCCUGGCAUUGUGUAAACACUGUUGAGCAAUAACAAAAACACCCCUGUGUUUUCAGCCUGGUGUUCAGCACAAAUCCAAAACACCGCCCACACCAGACCCUGGGAAGAAAACGAACAUGAUUCCAGAAAAAAAACAGUGCAGAGAACCUGCAUCUGUAACAGCUUGGAUUCAAGGAGCAGGAAGCAGCUGGAAGGGUGCAAAUGCUGGGGGUAAAUCUACUCCUAUCCCUUCAACAGCCAGCUCAGCCCGCUCCUGCUCUGUUCUGUAAAGUGGAAAGUAGCAGUGUGUUUCAAUAAAACCACCAGCUGCUCAAAACCAGUUAUCAAUGUCUAUCAAUAUACAAGACCUGGAGUGUGAGCUUCCUUCAGACAUUUUUCCAAGUAAAAGUUGCAUUCCUGAUUUCUGUACUUUAGUAGAAUGGGUUGAUCCUUAUUCUGGCUCUAAAAGGAAUGAAAGACCAAAGUCAGAGAGAGAUAGACAGAUUUGAUGUUUUUUUCAAAUGAGAAACAAAAAAUCCAAUCUUUUACUACUGAAAUAAAUAAUUAAGUCUUAUUAAUUAAUAACUGAUAAUUAACUAUUAAUUAGUAAUUAUUCAUAAAUAUAAUUGCCAAUUUUAAAAUUCAUUAUUAUUAUUGUAUUUGUGGACAUCCCCAUCCUUCUUAAUGUCUGAUAUCUGUCCUUGAAUACUCUGAUUUGAAGUUCACCUCAUCUUUGCAGAAUUACACAUUCUGAUACAUUCAGUUGGGCCAUCACAUACACAGAUGCCAUUCAAUGCCACUAAAAUUUAGAUACUUGCUGGCAUUCAGCAAAAUACUAACUGCUUCUGGAAACUUACAUAAUUUGCAGUCUUUGCUAAAGAAAUGGAACCUGCUGGCACAUGCUGUGUUAAUUCUAACACAUAAUAUCAAAAAUCACUUAUGUGUUCUUUGUUUAGAUCUGCUUCCCUGUGUCUAAACAGGGCCACACACAAUAGGAUUUUCGUUGUGAUAGCAGUGUCUCAAAGCCAUCACAUCAUGUAUGUAAUAUUCAUAAAGUUAUAAUUUUAUUCCAAGCAUGUCAAAGUCCAGAAUUCAUACUGCAUGUAAGACAGCACAAUUGCUCAAAACAAUGGACUGGGAAAGGGAAGAGCCAGACCUUCAAAAGCACAAACCCUCCAACAGCUAGUGAAUUAUUUUCUGAAAACACCUAAUCUUUAAAUAGCUGCAGUUUGCAAGAGCUAUGCUCAAACAGUUUAGAAUGUUUUUGGAAGGUUAGGAAAAACAAUUGAAGUACAGCAAACACCAUAGUCCAUAGCUCAUGAAUCACCAAAAUACACUCCUGGAGAAAUCAAGACUUGUAAUAAAAUAUAAGGUCUUUUUUAGAAGCAGCAAAUAAAAAGGAAAAAAAAAAAAAGAAAAAUAAGUAUAACCCAUCAAAUGUUACAAGGUCCAUUCGAAUUAACCCUUCACUGAGCAUUAAAAAUAUGGAACACAUCAAUUUUUCCAUAUUUCUCCUUUUAUAAGUGGCAUAUUCUGAGUGACUCAUGCCUGCAUUUCCCAGAGUAUUAUUCAAUAAAGCAUAUUCCUGCAAAUCUAUAAAUUUCUGCUCUCAGAUCAAGAGCUAAUGGCUUCAGUCCAAUAUAUCCAUAUUCUGGAUAGGGAUAUUCCCUUACAUAGGCAAUCUUGCUGGCAAAUGAAUGAAACUGUCAUGAAUUCAGGUUUAAGGAAUAUGUGUAGAGAAGCUUUGGGAAGAUUGGGGAAAUUUUCUGGAAAGAAAGAACAGCUCAUACAUUAUGCAGCCUUUGUAAGAGUGAGGUGUGGACUCUGAGUGAGUAAGUGGAUGCAUGCUUGGGAUUUCUCAUAGCCCUGCUAAGGCUUCCAGAGUUCUCAGAAGGACUGGUCCCACUAUGUAGGGCUCUUGCUAUCCACUGCUCUCACUGGAUUUUUAAGGAAUCAACCAGCAGGAUCAGAGCUAAGUAUAGCUUCACCUCCUGCAUUUCUCAUCAGCAUAGGCAAUAAUUUUUUUUCCUGAAAGUACCUACUUAUUACCAGAAUUUAAAAUCUAAUGGCACAAAGAACUUUGCUCCUCUUGUUAUAAGUAGGUGAGUACUGGGGAAAAAAAAAAAAAAAAGAUGCUGAAGAAUAAAGCUGUGUUUUUCAGCAAGUGUAGUUUUGAUUAGCUCCACUGGCCAUGUGUUAAUGGUGAAUGGGGCACAAAGAAGUCUGUGUCUCAUUACAUACUCUCUGCAGGUCCUCCAUGGAUUAAGUACACCAGAUAUUUGAACUCCACAAGUCUCUAAUAAAAACAUUCUCAAGAUGCUGGGUCA
Molecule: long non-coding RNA, 2561 nt
Filed under: Taeniopygia guttata (zebra finch)
Lineage: Eukaryota; Metazoa; Chordata; Aves; Passeriformes; Estrildidae
Description: lncRNA (ENSTGUG00000023933.1)
Source: RNAcentral